CAGCAGCCGCGGGAAUACGAAGGGGGCUAGCGUUGUUCGGAAUUACUGGGCGUAAAGCGCACGUAGGCGGCUUGGUAAGUUAGAGGUGAAAGCCCGGAGCUCAACUCCGGAAUUGCCUUUAAGACUGCCGAGCUAGUAGGUGAGAGAGGUAAGUGGAAUUCCGAGUGUAGAGGUGAAAUUCGUAGAUAUUCGGAAGAACACCAGUGGCGAAGGCGGCUUACUGGCUCAUUCUAGACGCUGAGGUGCGAAAGCGUGGGGAGCAAACAGGAUUAGAUACCCCUGUAGUCCCUGUCUCUUAUAC
This 301-nucleotide ribosomal RNA is filed under the name uncultured bacterium. RNAcentral describes it as "partial 16S ribosomal RNA". It matches the Rfam family "Bacterial small subunit ribosomal RNA", at positions 509 to 807 of the family's 1533-position model. The record is from RNAcentral.